RNAcentral lists this ribosomal RNA (246 nucleotides) under uncultured bacterium. RNAcentral describes it as "partial 16S ribosomal RNA". It matches the Rfam family "Bacterial small subunit ribosomal RNA", at positions 28 to 259 of the family's 1533-position model. The record is from RNAcentral.
GACGAACGCUGGCGGCGUGCUUAACACAUGCAAGUCGAGCGGUAAGGCCCUUUCGGGGGUACACGAGCGGCGAACGGGUGAGUAACACGUGGGUGACCUGCCCUCAGCUCUGGGAUAAGCCUGGGAAACUGGGUCUAAUACCGGAUAUGACCUUUCCUCGCAUGGGGUUUGGUGGAAAGUCCUGGGCUUGAUUGUCUGGGUUCGGCUGGGGAUGGGCCCGCGGCCUAUCAGCUUGUUGGGUGGGGG